This 765-nucleotide ribosomal RNA is filed under the name uncultured Bacteroidota bacterium. RNAcentral's name for it is "bacterial SSU rRNA". It matches the Rfam family "Bacterial small subunit ribosomal RNA", at positions 70 to 830 of the family's 1533-position model. Lineage: Bacteria; Pseudomonadati; Bacteroidota. The record is from RNAcentral.
CUUGUUUAUUUUGUUUUUGUAUACCGGGCGCACGGGAUGUGUAGCAACGUAAGGCAACGUACCUAUAACUGGGGCGUAGCUCAGAGAAGUCAUGAAUUAAUUCCCCAUAAGACUGUAGAACCGCAUGGUUCAGCAGUUAAAGUUCCGGCGGUUAUAGAUGGGCAUGCGUUGUAUUAGCUAGUUGGUGAGGUAACGGCUCACCAAGGCUACGAUACAUAGGGGUUCUGAGAGGAUGAUCCCCCACACUGGUACUGAGACACGGACCAGACUCCUACGGGAGGCAGCAGUAGGGAAUAUUGGUCAAUGGACGCAAGUCUGAACCAGCCAUGCCGCGUGCAGGAAGACGGCCCUCUGGGUUGUAAACUGCUUUUAUAUAGGAAGAAACCCCUGAAUGCGUUCGGGGCUGACGGUACUAUAUGAAUAAGGAUCGGCUAACUUCGUGCCAGCAGCCGCGGUAAGACGAAGGAUCCAAGCGUUGUCCGGAUUUACUGGGUUUAAAGGGUGCGUAGGCGGAUAUUUAAGUCAGUGGUGAAAUCCCAUAGCUCAACUAUGGAACUGCCAUUGAAACUGGAUAUCUUGAAUACGGUUGAGGUAGAUGGAAUAUAACAUGUAGCGGUGAAAUGCUUAGAUAUGUUAUAGAACACCGAUUGCGAAGGCAGUCUACUAAGCCGUGAUUGACGCUGAGGCACGAAAGCGUGGGGAGCGAACAGGAUUAGAUACCCUGGUAGUCCACGCCCUAAACGGUUGAUUACUUCUGCCUUGUUU